UACGUAGGGUCCGAGCGUUGUCCGGAAUUAUUGGGCGUAAAGGGCUCGUAGGCGGUUUGUCGCGUCGGGGGUGAAAACUCAGGGCUCAACCCUGAGCGUGCUUCCGAUACGGGCAGACUAGAGGUAUGCAGGGGAGAACGGAAUUCCUGGUGUAGCGGUGGAAUGCGCAGAUAUCAGGAGGAACACCGGUGGCGAAGGCGGUUCUCUGGGCAUGACCUGACGCUGAGGAGCGAAAGCAUGGGGAGCGAACAGG
This 253-nucleotide ribosomal RNA is filed under the name uncultured bacterium. RNAcentral's name for it is "partial 16S ribosomal RNA". It matches the Rfam family "Bacterial small subunit ribosomal RNA", at positions 524 to 776 of the family's 1533-position model. The record is from RNAcentral.